CGUGUAGGCUGCUUCGCAAGUCGGAUGUGAAAGCCCUGGGCUCAACCCAGGAAGUGCAUUCGAAACUGCAGAGCUGGAGUCCUGGAGAGGAAGGCGGAAUUCUCGGUGUAGAGGUGAAAUUCGUAGAUAUCGAGAGGAACACCGGUGGCGAAGGCGGCCUUCUGUACAGUGACUGACGCUGAGACCGAAAGCGUGGGGGGCAAACA
RNAcentral lists this ribosomal RNA (206 nucleotides) under uncultured bacterium. Its description in RNAcentral is "partial 16S ribosomal RNA". It matches the Rfam family "Bacterial small subunit ribosomal RNA", at positions 568 to 774 of the family's 1533-position model. The record is from RNAcentral.